Molecule: ribosomal RNA, 1311 nt
Filed under: uncultured bacterium
Lineage: Bacteria
Description: bacterial SSU rRNA
Rfam family: Bacterial small subunit ribosomal RNA
Source: RNAcentral
GGUCGAGUAACACGUCGAGUAACCUCGCCCCCUUCUUCUGGAUAACCGCAUGAAAGUGUGGCUAAUACGGGAUAUUCUGGGUCUGUCGCAUGACGGGCCCGGGAAAGAAUAUUGCUUCGGUGGGGGAUGGGCUCGCGGCCUAUCAGCUUGUUGGUGGGGUGAUGGCCUACCAAGGCGGUGACGGGUAGCCGGCCUGAGAGGGUGGACGGUCACACUGGGACUGAGACACGGCCCAGAACUCCUACGGGAGGCAGCAGUGGGGAAUAUUGCACAAUGGGCGCAAGCCUGAUGCAGCGACCCCGCGUGAGGGAUGGAGGCCUUCGGGUUGUAAACCUCUUUCGCCAGUGAAGCAGGCCUGCUCCUUGUGGGUGGGUUUGACGGUAGCUGGAUAAGAAGCGCCGGCUAACUACGUGCCAGCAGCCGCGGUAAUACGUAGGGCGCGAGCGUUGUCCGGAAUUAUUGGGCGUAAAGAGCUCGUAGGCGGCUGGUCGCGUCUGUCGUGAAAUCCUCUGGCUUAACUGGGGGCUUGCGGUGGGUACGGGCCGGCUUGAGUGCGGUAGGGGAGACUGGAACUCCUGGUGUAGCGGUGGAAUGCGCAGAUAUCAGGAAGAACACCGGUGGCGAAGGCGGGUCUCUGGGCCGUUACUGACGCUGAGGAGCGAAAGCGUGGGGAGCGAACAGGAUUAGAUACCCUGGUAGUCCACGCCGUAAACGUUGGGCACUAGGUGUGGGGGGCCUUUUCCGGGUCUUCCGCGCCGUAGCUAACGCAUUAAGUGCCCCGCCUGGGGAGUACGGCCGCAAGGCUAAAACUCAAAGGAAUUGACGGGGGCCCGCACAAGCGGCGGAGCAUGCGGAUUAAUUCGAUGCAACGCGAAGAACCUUACCAAGGCUUGACAUGUGCCGGUCGGCUCCGGAGACGGGGCUUCCUCCUUGUGGGGCCGGUUCACAGGUGGUGCAUGGUUGUCGUCAGCUCGUGUCGUGAGAUGUUGGGUUAAGUCCCGCAACGAGCGCAACCCUUGUCCCGUGUUGCCAGCACGUUGUGGUGGGGACUCGCGGGAGACUGCCGGGGUCAACUCGGAGGAAGGUGGGGAUGACGUCAAAUCAUCAUGCCCCUUAUGUCUUGGGCUUCACGCAUGCUACAAUGGCCGGUACAGAGGGCUGCGAUACCGUGAGGUGGAGCGAAUCCCUUAAAGCCGGUCUCAGUUCGGAUCGGUGCCUGCAACUCGACACCGUGAAGUUGGAGUCGCUAGUAAUCGCAGAUCAGCAACGCUGCGGUGAAUACGUUCUCGGGCCUUGUACACACCGCCCGUC